AGAGAGAUAUUUUCCAGCUGGUUUUGAGGAAGUGAGCUGCCAUGUACUAGGCCACGUGGCAAGGGCCUGGUUGGGGACCUCCAGGGGUUGAGAGCAUCCUCUGGACAACAUGGAAAAAGAAAAUGAAAAUGGUGACCUCAGCCCUAUAGCUAGAAGGAAUUGAAUCCUGUCAACAACGAUACUCAUCACUCACUGCAGAUGUUACUUUAAGACAUUCUGGAGCAGCGUCAUGUGCAGGAACAAUAAGGAAGUGAGUGCUUUUGUAAUUCCUGAACAACUGUGUCUUACACUUACUAAGUUCUCUUGCCUGCCACCAUGUAAGAUAUGCUUUUACUCUUCCGCCUUCCACCGUGACUGUGAGGCCUCCCCAGCCAUGUGAAACUGCCUUUGAGCUUAUACUGAAUUAUACCACCAGCUUUCCUAGGUCUUGAAGCUUACAGACAGCAGAUCUUGGGACUUCUCAGGCACCAUAAUCAAUCAUAGAUAAAUGAUCCAAUGAUUCGGAACUUGAAAAGUGGUAGCUUUAUGAAUUCUCCUUAAGAAGAAACCUGUGCCCUGAUCUUGCCUACUCACCCAAAGGCACUGUGAGAUAGCAUCAAAGGAACAGCUAGUAAGAGACACAGAGCCAGAAAUCAGGGAAGUAAAAUACACUUGACAUCUACGUUCGGAAAGAAAUUUUAGGAGGCAGAAGCAAAUGGAUCAGAAGCUGCUUAUAUUUUUGCAAGAUUACCAAAGAAACCAUUGGUGGAGAAAGUUCUGUGACCAACUUGUCUGAGUCUAGUAAGAUUGAACGCUCACACACAAGUUUCAUGAAGUGGGUUUGAUACUUACAGAUAAGCAGCAAGGACCAACAGAAGCUGAUGAUCUAUGGUGAACUUUUUCCCAAGGCUCCGGAAAGCUGCCUAAAGUAGAUGGAGUCUUCUCUGUGUGUGCCCCACUGGUCCUGCAGUUGAAGGAUCCGGUAAAGCAGCCUGCCCUUGGUUUUAUACUCCAGAGGAACGUGAUUCGCUGGACUAAAGCAUUGAAGUGCAUCCUGUUUCCGGGGGGCACUGGAACAGAGCCUGGUCUGUUCUAGCCAGUCCCUUUCUAUCUCAGGAUAACAUUCUACAGUUAUUCUUGAGAACUAUAAUCAAAUAAGCAGGGAGAACUGGGAAAGCAGAGGCUCAUUGUGGAACCCUCAAGGAGCAUGGGGUCGUCUUCAUCCCUCAGUUUAUAAAUGGCCAAGGAGAGUAAUGCAACAAAAACUUCUCAGAGUUAAAAGCCAGAGUUCCUAAAGAACCGUGGACAAAGGGUUCUGUCUAGUGGGCAGAAUUCAUCCAGCGAAGGUCUCCUAACUACAGAGGGUCACAUCUGGAUCUGAUGGCACCUACAGAACUUGGACUCUGAGCGACAAUCAGUGACCAGGAAAUUUGGAACCCAGGUUUUCCCAACCUACAUCUACAAAAUGGAAUGGGUCUGAUUCGCAAGUUUUCAGAGAAAGAAGCCAACCUUAAUCAGACUGUGAUAUGAUGAGGAAAUAAAACUUGCUGUGCUAAUCAACUGA
RNAcentral lists this long non-coding RNA (1543 nucleotides) under Homo sapiens (human). RNAcentral's name for it is "long intergenic non-protein coding RNA 2241". Lineage: Eukaryota; Metazoa; Chordata; Mammalia; Primates; Hominidae. The record is from RNAcentral.